AUUGAACGCUGGCGGCAUGCCUUACACAUGCAAGUCGAACGGUAACAGGUCUUCGGAUGCUGACGAGUGGCGAACGGGUGAGUAAUACAUCGGAACGUGCCCGAUCGUGGGGGAUAACGAGGCGAAAGCUUUGCUAAUACCGCAUACGAUCUACGGAUGAAAGCGGGGGAUCUUCGGACCUCGCGCGGACGGAGCGGCCGAUGGCAGAUUAGGUAGUUGGUGGGAUAAAAGCUUACCAAGCCGACGAUCUGUAGCUGGUCUGAGAGGAUGAUCAGCCACACUGGGACUGAGACACGGCCCAGACUCCUACGGGAGGCAGCAGUGGGGAAUUUUGGACAAUGGGCGAAAGCCUGAUCCAGCCAUGCCGCGUGCAGGAUGAAGGCCUUCGGGUUGUAAACUGCUUUUGUACGGAACGAAAAGCCUCUUUCUAAUAAAGAGGGGUCAUGACGGUACCGUAAGAAUAAGCACCGGCUAACCACGUG
RNAcentral lists this ribosomal RNA (482 nucleotides) under uncultured bacterium. RNAcentral's name for it is "partial 16S ribosomal RNA". It matches the Rfam family "Bacterial small subunit ribosomal RNA", at positions 30 to 507 of the family's 1533-position model. The record is from RNAcentral.